Pyrus x bretschneideri (Chinese white pear) is the source of this 1061-nucleotide long non-coding RNA. RefSeq lists it as uncharacterized. The record is from RefSeq and is a predicted model, not a curated record. Lineage: Eukaryota; Viridiplantae; Streptophyta; Magnoliopsida; Rosales; Rosaceae. The transcript is spliced from 3 exons.
UCAGAUGAUCAAAUUACAAAGAGAUUGUAACCCCAAAAUCAUUAAUACAAAAAUAUAUUUUGUACACGUAUUCUUGUUUCUUGUUUCAAGAAUUUUUCGUGUUUACAGUUAUAUAUGUUUCAUAAGAAUUGGGUGGAAAGUGUAACCAGUUUGAUUCAAGUGUGUUAUCAUUGUUCUGUUAGAUAUUUAAAUAAAUUGGGUUACAACUUACUAUGUGGUUUUUUACUGGUAGCCGCAUAUAGACACAAAAGAUUGUGAAAUGCUGAGUUGUUUGCGUGAAAAAAAUAUGGGGAAAUUCAUCGUGUGUUGACUGUUGAGGUAUUUAUUCAGCAAAAAAUAUUGAAGAACGUUGUUUUAUUUAGAUUGAUAGAUGGUGGUAAAAGUUUUCUUCCAUUGGUGUUCGUUGUCAAGAAGGCAGUCUACGUUGGAUAAAAUAUAUAUAUAUACAUAUAUAUAUAUAUAUAUAUAUAUUGACACCAUGUUUUAAGCUGUUGAGAACAAUUAAUCGCCAGAGUUUACUAUUUUUUUUUCAAAUUUAUUUAUCUGAGGUUUUAUUUCAGCGUUACAACUUAUGUGUUUUCUCUUUAGUGUGAUUCAGUAUGGGUUUAUCUAGGUUUGCGGCUAAGUUUAUGGUAACGUUGAUAUACAAUUUUUUGAUUUUCCUGUAAAUUUAUAUUGAUUAUAUUUUUUUGGUUGUUAAUUUAUUGAUGCUAGGAAUAAUUUUGGCUUUCAGUAUUUUUUUUUUUUUUUUUUUUUUUGUCGAAAGUUUAUUUAUUUAUUUUUAAUACUUUUCUACCAAUAGUUUAUAGCGUUCUCUUAUCAAAUUUUCCCUAUUUUCAGAUAGUUAAGUGUAGGCAAGUGCUGAAAUAAACAUAUGCUUGUGGAUAUUAUUAGAGUGUAAACAUGCCAAGAAAUAAUCCUUUGAGUGCUUGCAAGGUACCUGCCGCAGGUUCUGUUUGUUGUUGCCAAUCUGCAGGAGGGGUUUGGAGGAUGAGGAAGAAAGAACCUUUAUCCGGAUCUUUUAAUAAUGAGUACCAUUUAUUUGAAAAAGAUAAGGUCAG